This 286-nucleotide ribosomal RNA is filed under the name uncultured bacterium. Its description in RNAcentral is "partial 16S ribosomal RNA". It matches the Rfam family "Bacterial small subunit ribosomal RNA", at positions 28 to 314 of the family's 1533-position model. The record is from RNAcentral.
GACGAACGCUGGCGGCGUGCUUAACACAUGCAAGUCGAGCGGUAAGGCCCUUUCGGGGGUACGACGAGCGGCGAACGGGUGAGUAACACGUGGGUGACCUGCCCUCAGCUCUGGGAUAAGCCUGGGAAACCGGGUCUAAUACUGGAUAUGACUCCAUGACGCAUGUUGUGGGGUGGAAAGCCUUGUGCGGCUGAGGAUGGGCCCGCGGCCUAUCAGCUUGUUGGUGGGGUGANGGCCUACCAAGGCGACGACGGGUAGCCGGCCUGAGAGGGCGACCGGCCACACU